Molecule: ribosomal RNA, 470 nt
Filed under: uncultured bacterium
Lineage: Bacteria
Description: partial 16S ribosomal RNA
Rfam family: Bacterial small subunit ribosomal RNA
Source: RNAcentral
GGACGAACGCUGGCGGCGUGCUUAACACAUGCAAGUCGAACGGAAAGGCCCUGCUUGCAGGGUGCUCGAGUGGCGAACGGGUGAGUAACACGUGGGUGAUCUGCCCCUUACUUUGGGAUAAGCCUGGGAAACUGGGUCUAAUACUGGAUAGGACCAUGCUGUAGGUGGUGUGGUGGAAAGAUUAGUUUCGGUAAGGGAUGAGCUCGCGGCCUAUCAGCUUGUCGGUGGGGUAAUGGCCUACCAAGGCGUCGACGGGUAGCCGGCCUGAGAGGGUGGACGGCCACAUUGGGACUGAGAUACGGCCCAGACUCCUACGGGAGGCAGCAGUGGGGAAUAUUGCACAAUGGGCGCAAGCCUGAUGCAGCGACGCCGCGUGGGGGAUGACGGCCUUCGGGUUGUAAACUCCUUUCAGCCAUGACGAAGCCCUUGUGGUGACGGUAGUGGUAGAAGAAGCACCGGCUAACUACGUG